UACGGAGGAUGCAAGCGUUAUCCGGAUUCAUUGGGUUUAAAGGGUGCGUAGGCGGCUUUUUAAGUCAGUGGUGAAAUCUUGCCGCUUAACGGUAAAAUUGCCAUUGAUACUGAGAAGCUUGAGUACAUUUGAGGUAAGCGGAAUGUGUAGUGUAGCGGUGAAAUGCUUAGAUAUUACACAGAACACCAAUUGCGAAGGCAGCUUACUAAACUGUAACUGACGCUGAUGCACGAAAGCGUGGGGAGCGAACAGG
This 253-nucleotide ribosomal RNA is filed under the name uncultured bacterium. RNAcentral's name for it is "partial 16S ribosomal RNA". It matches the Rfam family "Bacterial small subunit ribosomal RNA", at positions 524 to 776 of the family's 1533-position model. The record is from RNAcentral.